This 440-nucleotide ribosomal RNA is filed under the name uncultured bacterium. RNAcentral describes it as "partial 16S ribosomal RNA". It matches the Rfam family "Bacterial small subunit ribosomal RNA", at positions 338 to 795 of the family's 1533-position model. The record is from RNAcentral.
CCUACGGGGGGCUGCAGUGGGGAAUAUUGCACAAUGGGGGAAACCCUGAUGCAGCGACGCCGCGUGAGUGAAGAAGUAUUUCGGUAUGUAAAGCUCUUUCAGCAGGGAAGAAAAUGACGGUACCUGACUAAGAAGCCCCGGCUAACUCCGUGCCAGCAGCCGCGGUAAUACGUAGGGGGCAAGCGUUAUCCGGAUUUACUGGGUGUAAAGGGGGCGUAGACGGGAGUGCAAGUCUGGAGUGAAAGGCGGGGGCUUAACCCCCGGACUGCUUUGGAAACUGUACGUCUGGAGUGCAGGAGAGGUAGGUGGAAUUCCUGGUGUAGCGGUGAAAUGCGGAGAUAUUAGGAGGAACACCAGUGGCGAAGGCGGCUUGCUGGACUGUAACUGACGUUGAGGCUCGAAAGCGUGGGGAGCAAACAGGAUUAGAUACCCGGGUAGUC